This is an RNA transcript of Esox lucius (northern pike), 681 nucleotides long. RefSeq lists it as uncharacterized. NCBI's taxonomy places the organism in Eukaryota, Metazoa, Chordata, Actinopteri, Esociformes, Esocidae. The record is from RefSeq and is a predicted model, not a curated record. The transcript has 5 exons.
GACCCGGAAGUGGUUUUUUAUUGUCGACGACCCUUAUGUAUAAGAAGGGACUGGGGCAGCUUCUGAACAUUUAAGCCAUCACAUGAAUUUUACUGAUGGACAGAAUAUUUCCCCAGUUGUUGCAGUGGCCGGCUGAGAGACUUGCAGCGUUCAGGUUUGUGUCGUUAGGGUUUGUGGUCCAGAGUGGUGUUGGAGUGUUUAAGACCAGGGUUGUUCAACGCUACACUUUGAUGCCGGUUCGGGUCCAUCUUUUCACGGCAACACUAAUAUUGGUCUUAUUUAGACCUGGGACUUCAGUGCAUAUCCCAACCAGUCAGAUGUUCUUGACUGGGGACAAUGAGCCUAAUUGCAUGAUGACAGUGCUGGGGCUGUGACAGAAAUGGAUUGAUUUACUGGUUUACUAGGGUGCCGUGUGUCCUGGGUGCCCUUGAUCACAUGGGGGCGGGGCGCGCCACUGAUUCGGUUUGUGCCGUAGCAAGUCAUGGAUCCCUCAUCCCUGCUGUAACUGACUCCCUGGGUGGAUCUUGGCACCUUGCUUUACACCACUGGCUGGUUCUGAAGACUUGGACCGGAUGAGUAAAGAAACGGACCCGGAGUAACCGCUCAUGUUUUGGCUCAUGGCUAUACUGUAGUUUCAAUGUUCUUGUCAACCAAAUACUUAAUAAAAAUCUGUGCGUUAAA